GGGAAGCCAAGAGAUGACAAGGUGAGAGGGACAUUACUGACACAGAGCACUGUGCUGCCUGUCACUAAUAGGCUUAAUACAUACUAAUGCACAUACUAACCAUCUUCUUUAAAGUGCUCAUUCACUUUACAGCUGAGACAUGAGACAAUCAUGCUGUGGCUAGUUGAACCGUUGUUAAAUUUUAAAUGGCAGGACUGGGGCUGUGACUCUAAGGACUGGUCUGAUUCUGUGUUCAAUAUGUU
Molecule: non-coding RNA, 242 nt
Organism: Pelobates cultripes (western spadefoot toad)
Lineage: Eukaryota; Metazoa; Chordata; Amphibia; Anura; Pelobatidae
Source: the annotation of a GenBank genome assembly